RNAcentral lists this long non-coding RNA (777 nucleotides) under Gossypium barbadense (sea-island cotton). RNAcentral's name for it is "long non-coding RNA (GBAR_LNC018225)". The stretch from base 392 to 536 matches the Rfam family "MIR7502 microRNA precursor family". Lineage: Eukaryota; Viridiplantae; Streptophyta; Magnoliopsida; Malvales; Malvaceae. The record is from RNAcentral.
GUCCCAUAUCUUCAUUAUCUCCAACUCAAAGUGAAGGAGAACCGGCCCCUCCGAUCACCGUUGGAUCUCCCUCUUUUCCUGCAAGAACAGCCGGGGAAGAAUCUCCGGCCUCUGUCCAAGCCUAUCAGCAGCCUGCCUCGGCAUCUAGCUCCAGCAUUCUUUUGGUCAAUGAUCGAGGGAAUUCCUCGAACACUAGGUACUUACUAUUCUCUAACUCGAUUCUCCUCGCUUUUUCAUUUAUUAGGCAGUUAGAACACAUUUUCAGCCUUUUUUUCUGUAAAAGUAUCAUGGAGGCCCUUGUACUAGGAUUCACAUUGGAUUUUGCUCCCUCAACUCAAAAAAUGGGCAAAUUAGUCCUUAUUUGUUAAAUCAAAGAGUAAAUUUGUCAUUUUGUUAAAAAUUUCAUUCACUUCUACUAUUAAAAACUGGUCCUUGUACGUCGGCAUGAAGUACAUGUGACACGCCACUUGUCACUGUUUGGUUAUUUUGUUAGUCAUGCUAGUUUUUAACAAUAGAAAUGGAUGAAAGUUUUAGCAGAAAGGAUCAGUUUUUUCUUUGAUCUAAUGUAUAGGGAUUAAGUUGCCCUUUUUUAGGUAAAGAAGCAAAAUGCAAUAUGAUACCUAGUACAAGGGUCUCUAUGAUAUUUUUACCUUCUUUAUCACAAUAACAUCUUCUAUUUUACAGGACGUCGCCUAAUAGUCAAGAUAGAGCCGGACCUUCAGAAUUCCAAUCAUUUUCCGAAUCGCUAAAGUCACGGUUCAAUGCCGUUUCAACGAG